AUCAUGUAUUCAAAUUACUAGGUAGUUUUGAUGAACAUGAAGUAUUGAGUUGAAAAACUCAAAUUGUCAAUAGUUGACAACCAACAUAUCUUUUCGCUUCAUACACUAAUGAGUAGGACUUAUUGAUGUAGUAAUUCAAGCAUGAAUUAAAGAAAGAUGGAACUUUGUUUUACGGCGCAUUAGAUGUUUAAUUAUCCCUAACAAAGUAUAAAAGUCAAAACACUUAAAGAAAUGGUUCUUAAAGUUAUGAGAUGAUGUAUGAUAAGAAAUAUAGGAAACAAGGAACAAAGAAAAGGGAUAAGAUUCCUAUUCUACCCAUGAGUUCAUGUUAUUGUAGUUAACUUAGCAACUUGUUAUCUUCACAAGUAUCGAAUACUGCUUGAGUGUUCCACUUUGAAAGUGACCUCAAACCAUUGAAGUUAAGUUAAGUUAUUGACUUACAAGCUUAGAAUGAAGCAAGAAGUGCUACAUCAGUUGUAAGGUCAUUUGUUCUGUUUAAAGACCUUUUAAGCUAAGGGUGGAACGAAUAAUGGUUAUUAUGUUCCAUAAUCAGCAAGCGAUCCAUUUACACACGGAAAGACUCACAUUCAAAGUAAAAGAGCAAUAGUUGCGGGUUUUAUUUGAAUGGAAUGGUUGUCUUAGCCAUGAGUCAAGAAUGCUAGAUUAUAAACAAACAUUUCCCUAACAUGAAAACUCACAAGGUUCAAGUCAUGGACAUGAUUUGUGUUCCAAACAUCUUUAGCAAUGUCACAUCGACAAGAACAUACUCAAGGCUCUAUUAGAUAGACUCUUGAUAGUUGAUCAAUUCGAAAUCGUUCUAUGGCAAGCAAGUCUUACUUGUUGAAAUCGACAAAGAAAGGAGCUAUUGUGCUUGGUAUAGACAAUUGACUCCGAAAGCUAAAGAGAAUUCCAUUACUUCAAUGUCUCACAAGAAUUUAAGAGAAUAUGGCUAUAUUCAUCAAAUGUGAACAAACUGGACCUUGAGUAGCUCAAAAGUUCAGUGAAGUAUAGAAUCGACUUGGCAAGAUAUCAAAACGUCUAGAUUUUUGCUUGAGCUAAGAGUGAUCAUAUCAAAGUUAUAAAAUUGGAAUUUCAUAAUGAGCUCCACAAAGAAUAUGGAAUGUCUUGAGGGAGACCUCGAUGCCAUGUGGAAAUGACUCGAAUGAUGAUUGAUCAUAUCCCUUCCUAUAAAGUUCUUAAAGAUUUUCACAAAUGACUAGUGUUACACUAAACAAAAUUAUCGAAGCUAAGAAAGGACACCAUAUUUAGUUAUGGAUAGAAAUAGUUUCUAGUGUCUUUUUAAGUAUAUGUCUAGGGCUCUUAGCUCAGUGGGAGUUCACUGGCUUAGUGGGAGCUAAGUGGCUCAAUAAGGGCUAAGUUAGCUCGAGUGGGAGUUAACUAUUUGUUUCACAACGAACUUUUACCCACAGACUAUAUACAUGUCUCUUUGUAAGCAUUUAAGUGAGACUACGGGCAUUAUUUCCACAACCUAAUUGAGAACAUAAUAUUUACUGCUCUAAGUGGUGUCUUUCUGGAAAGUAACACAUUUCCAAAAUGAUAAGUGGGAGGAAAAUGAACUCGAUGACCAUCGAGAUUAGCAACAAACUUAAACUGAGGAUCUCCGAAGACUUUAGAUGGAAGGGCUUCAUGGGAAUGAUUGAUCAAGAAUACUCAAAGGACUUCACAAGUGCCUUAAAUGAGAAUUCAGUCCUCACAAAACCUUAGAAGUGUUGGAGUAAGAUUAAUAUAAUCAAGGACUUUAAAAGCACCUUGAAACUCAGUGUUUGAUGCAAUUACCUCGUAUAGGUAUAGAAUUCACUAAAAGGCUUGGAUUGAAUCCUAUAAAUUUCUAUUAAGUUAGAAAUAAACCUAAGACUUACUGUUGGGUUUCGUAGUGUCCAACGCUACGCGGAAGAGAAACCCGCCCAAGACCCGAUCACUAAUUAAAGCAACUAAAUAUUUAAUCAAAUAAUUAACAACAUAAAAGAGAGAAAGAGAAAAGACAUUACCUUUGACGUGUGCUUCGCUCGAUUCACGAGCUCUUACUUCAAAACCCGAGCCUAGCAAGUGCGACAGCCUCCUAAGGCUCGCACCCUCGACUCGACCUGAAUGGUCCUAGUCCUGAAGGUUAGUCGGGACUUGACCAAUAAAAACUAGAGUACUGUUCCCUAGGAUUGGAUUUGGGCCUUUCCUGCGCAGCUUAGGUGGAAGGCAAAGGCCCCCUUCCGGGGGGCCCAAGCCAUCAGUGAGAUACCACUCUGGAAGAGCUAGAAUUCUAACCUUGUGUCAGUACCUACGGGCCAAGGGACAAUCUCAGGUAGACAGUUUCUAUGGGGUGUAGGCCUCCCAAAAGGUAACGGAGGCGUGCAAAGGUUUCCUCGGACCGGACGGAGAUUGGCCCUCGAGUGCAAAGGCAGAAGGGAGCUUGACUGCAAGACCCACCCGUCGAGCAGGGACGAAAGUCGGCCUUAGUGAUCCGAUGGUGCCGAGUGGAAGGGCCGUCGCUCAAUAAAUAAAAGUUACUCUAGGGAUAACAGGCUGAUCUUCCCCAAGAGUUCACAUCGACGGGAAGGUUUGGCACCUCGAUGUCGGCUCUUCGCCACCUGGGACUGUAGUAUGUUCCAAGGGUUGGGUUGUUCGCCCAUUAAAGCGGUACGUGAGCUGGGUUCAGAACGUCGUGAGACAGUUCGGUCCAUAUCCGGUGUGGGCGUUAGAGCAUUGAGAGGACCUUUCCCUAGUACGAGAGGACCGGGAAGGACGCACCUUUGGUGUACCAGUUAUCGUGCCCACGGUAAACGCUGGGUAGCCAAGUGCGGAGCGGAUAACUGCUGAAAGCAUCUAAGUAGUAAGCCCACCCCAAGAUGAGUGCUCUCCUAUUCCUACUUCCCCGUCACUGCCGAUAGCACAGCUGAGGCACUGACGGGUUCUCUGCCCCUGAGGGGUGAGCGACAGAAGUUUGGAAAGAGAAGGUCACGGCGAAACGAGCCGUUUAUCAUUACGAUAGGUGUCAAGUGGAAGUGCAGUGAUGUAUGCAGCUGAGGCAUCCUAACAGACCCACAGACUUGAAC
Molecule: ribosomal RNA, 3068 nt
Filed under: Chenopodium quinoa (quinoa)
Lineage: Eukaryota; Viridiplantae; Streptophyta; Magnoliopsida; Caryophyllales; Amaranthaceae
Description: bacterial LSU rRNA
Rfam family: Bacterial large subunit ribosomal RNA (bases 2062-3068)
Source: RNAcentral